Molecule: long non-coding RNA, 218 nt
Filed under: Lathyrus oleraceus (garden pea)
Lineage: Eukaryota; Viridiplantae; Streptophyta; Magnoliopsida; Fabales; Fabaceae
Description: Pisum sativum (pea) long non-coding RNA (PSAT_LNC022724)
Source: RNAcentral
ACCAAUCAUUGAUCUAUGGGCACAAUCGAUGGGUUGGGGCUGCUACUUUUGAAAAUUUUCAUUUUCCUGCUGAGCCAAUCGAUUUGUGUUUUGGAGCAAUCGAUUGGUCUACUGAGUUCAUUUUUUCAGUUUUUGCCUCAUGUCAAUCGAUUGGUCCUUCCAGUCAAUCGAUUGAUCUUGUUUAAUUUUUGAAAAAUCUGAAAUGGAUUCAUUCUUUC